GGGAUUGCCUUAGUAACGGCGAGUGAAGCGGCAACAGCUCAAAUUUGAAAUCUGGCCUUCGGGUCCGAAUUGUAAUUUGUAGAGGAUGCUUUUGAUGCGGUACCUUUCGAGUUCCCUGGAACGGGACGCCUUAGAGGGUGAGAGCCCCGUACGAUUGGAUACCAAAUCUUUGUAUAGCUCCUUCGACGAGUCGAGUAGUUUGGGAAUGCUGCUCUAAAUGGGAGGUAAAUUUCUUCUAAAGCUAAAUACCGGCCAGAGACCGAUAGCGCACAAGUAGAGUGAUCGAAAGAUGAAAAGCACUUUGAAAAGAGGGUUAAAUAGCACGUGAAAUUGUUGAAAGGGAAGCGUUUAUGACCAGACUUUUUCCAAGCGGAUCAUCCGGUGUUCUCACCGGUGCACUUCGUUUGGUUGAGGCCAGCAUCGGUUUCCGUAGAGGGAUAAAAGCUUUAGGAAUGUGGCUCCCUCGGGAGUGUUAUAGCCUUUUGUAUAAUACCUUUAUGGGGACCGAGGUUCGCGCAUCUGCAAGGAUGCUGGCGUAAUGGUCAUCAACGA
Molecule: ribosomal RNA, 552 nt
Filed under: uncultured fungus
Lineage: Eukaryota; Fungi
Description: eukaryotic LSU rRNA
Rfam family: Eukaryotic large subunit ribosomal RNA
Source: RNAcentral